RNAcentral lists this ribosomal RNA (451 nucleotides) under Pseudomonas alliivorans. RNAcentral's name for it is "bacterial SSU rRNA". It matches the Rfam family "Bacterial small subunit ribosomal RNA", at positions 1 to 454 of the family's 1533-position model. Lineage: Bacteria; Pseudomonadati; Pseudomonadota; Gammaproteobacteria; Pseudomonadales; Pseudomonadaceae. The record is from RNAcentral.
GAACUGAAGAGUUUGAUCAUGGCUCAGAUUGAACGCUGGCGGCAGGCCUAACACAUGCAAGUCGAGCGGUAGAGAGAAGCUUGCUUCUCUUGAGAGCGGCGGACGGGUGAGUAAUGCCUAGGAAUCUGCCUGGUAGUGGGGGAUAACGCUCGGAAACGGACGCUAAUACCGCAUACGUCCUACGGGAGAAAGCAGGGGACCUUCGGGCCUUGCGCUAUCAGAUGAGCCUAGGUCGGAUUAGCUAGUUGGUGAGGUAAUGGCUCACCAAGGCGACGAUCCGUAACUGGUCUGAGAGGAUGAUCAGUCACACUGGAACUGAGACACGGUCCAGACUCCUACGGGAGGCAGCAGUGGGGAAUAUUGGACAAUGGGCGAAAGCCUGAUCCAGCCAUGCCGCGUGUGUGAAGAAGGUCUUCGGAUUGUAAAGCACUUUAAGUUGGGAGGAAGGGCA